This 1528-nucleotide ribosomal RNA is filed under the name Klebsiella variicola. RNAcentral's name for it is "bacterial SSU rRNA". It matches the Rfam family "Bacterial small subunit ribosomal RNA". The record is from RNAcentral. Lineage: Bacteria; Pseudomonadati; Pseudomonadota; Gammaproteobacteria; Enterobacterales; Enterobacteriaceae.
AGAGUUUGAUCAUGGCUCAGAUUGAACGCUGGCGGCAGGCCUAACACAUGCAAGUCGAGCGGUAGCACAGAGAGCUUGCUCUCGGGUGACGAGCGGCGGACGGGUGAGUAAUGUCUGGGAAACUGCCUGAUGGAGGGGGAUAACUACUGGAAACGGUAGCUAAUACCGCAUAACGUCGCAAGACCAAAGUGGGGGACCUUCGGGCCUCAUGCCAUCAGAUGUGCCCAGAUGGGAUUAGCUGGUAGGUGGGGUAACGGCUCACCUAGGCGACGAUCCCUAGCUGGUCUGAGAGGAUGACCAGCCACACUGGAACUGAGACACGGUCCAGACUCCUACGGGAGGCAGCAGUGGGGAAUAUUGCACAAUGGGCGCAAGCCUGAUGCAGCCAUGCCGCGUGUGUGAAGAAGGCCUUCGGGUUGUAAAGCACUUUCAGCGGGGAGGAAGGCGGUGAGGUUAAUAACCUCAUCGAUUGACGUUACCCGCAGAAGAAGCACCGGCUAACUCCGUGCCAGCAGCCGCGGUAAUACGGAGGGUGCAAGCGUUAAUCGGAAUUACUGGGCGUAAAGCGCACGCAGGCGGUCUGUCAAGUCGGAUGUGAAAUCCCCGGGCUCAACCUGGGAACUGCAUUCGAAACUGGCAGGCUAGAGUCUUGUAGAGGGGGGUAGAAUUCCAGGUGUAGCGGUGAAAUGCGUAGAGAUCUGGAGGAAUACCGGUGGCGAAGGCGGCCCCCUGGACAAAGACUGACGCUCAGGUGCGAAAGCGUGGGGAGCAAACAGGAUUAGAUACCCUGGUAGUCCACGCUGUAAACGAUGUCGAUUUGGAGGUUGUGCCCUUGAGGCGUGGCUUCCGGAGCUAACGCGUUAAAUCGACCGCCUGGGGAGUACGGCCGCAAGGUUAAAACUCAAAUGAAUUGACGGGGGCCCGCACAAGCGGUGGAGCAUGUGGUUUAAUUCGAUGCAACGCGAAGAACCUUACCUGGUCUUGACAUCCACAGAACUUUCCAGAGAUGGAUUGGUGCCUUCGGGAACUGUGAGACAGGUGCUGCAUGGCUGUCGUCAGCUCGUGUUGUGAAAUGUUGGGUUAAGUCCCGCAACGAGCGCAACCCUUAUCCUUUGUUGCCAGCGGUCAGGCCGGGAACUCAAAGGAGACUGCCAGUGAUAAACUGGAGGAAGGUGGGGAUGACGUCAAGUCAUCAUGGCCCUUACGACCAGGGCUACACACGUGCUACAAUGGCAUAUACAAAGAGAAGCGACCUCGCGAGAGCAAGCGGACCUCAUAAAGUAUGUCGUAGUCCGGAUUGGAGUCUGCAACUCGACUCCAUGAAGUCGGAAUCGCUAGUAAUCGUAGAUCAGAAUGCUACGGUGAAUACGUUCCCGGGCCUUGUACACACCGCCCGUCACACCAUGGGAGUGGGUUGCAAAAGAAGUAGGUAGCUUAACCUUCGGGAGGGCGCUUACCACUUUGUGAUUCAUGACUGGGGUGAAGUCGUAACAAGGUAACCGUAGGGGAACCUGCGGUUGGAUCACCU